GGGUGUGUAGCUCAGUGGUAGAGUGGUUGCCUGGCAUGCAGGAGGCCCUUGGUUUAAUACCCAGUACUGCCU
This 72-nucleotide transfer RNA is filed under the name Fukomys damarensis (Damara mole-rat). It matches the Rfam family "tRNA". Rfam says of the family: Transfer RNA (tRNA) molecules are approximately 80 nucleotides in length. Their secondary structure includes four short double-helical elements and three loops (D, anti-codon, and T loops). The record is from Rfam by way of RNAcentral. Lineage: Eukaryota; Metazoa; Chordata; Mammalia; Rodentia; Bathyergidae.